GACGAACGCUGGCGGCGUGCUUAACACAUGCAAGUCGAACGGAAAGGCCCUGCUUUUGUGGGGUGCUCGAGUGGCGAACGGGUGAGUAACACGUGAGUAACCUGCCCUUGACUUUGGGAUAACUUCAGGAAACUGGGGCUAAUACCGGAUAGGAGCUCCUGCUGCAUGGUGGGGGUUGGAAAGUUUCGGCGGUUGGGGAUGGACUCGCGGCUUAUCAGCUUGUUGGUGGGGUAGUGGCUUACCAAGGCUUUGACGGGUAGCCGGCCUGAGAGGGUGACCGGCCACAUUGGGACGGAGAUACGGCCCAGACUCAUAAGGGAGGCAGCAGUGGGGAAUAUUGCACAAUGGGCGGAAGCCUGAUGCAGCAACGCAGCGUGCGGGAUGAAGGCCUUCGGGUUGUAAACCGCUUUCGCCUGUGACGAAGCGUGAGUGACGGUAAUGGGUAAAGAAGCACCGGCUAACUACGUG
RNAcentral lists this ribosomal RNA (468 nucleotides) under uncultured bacterium. RNAcentral's name for it is "partial 16S ribosomal RNA". It matches the Rfam family "Bacterial small subunit ribosomal RNA", at positions 28 to 507 of the family's 1533-position model. The record is from RNAcentral.